This 9847-nucleotide long non-coding RNA is filed under the name Brassica napus (rape). RNAcentral describes it as "long non-coding RNA (BNAP_LNC004239)". Lineage: Eukaryota; Viridiplantae; Streptophyta; Magnoliopsida; Brassicales; Brassicaceae. The record is from RNAcentral.
AGAACAGAAACACUUCAACUUAGCAUCGGAAUAUUAACAGAAGUAGUCAAGCAGAGUUUCACACAACAAGACAGAUGAGAAGGGAGAGCGUUUAACUCAAGUCAACAAGUGGAAACAGGUUUCACAUCACAACACAUAACAAAAUAUCUACAGAAACAGAGAGUUUAACCCAAGUUAGAUGAGAAGGAAGAUAGUUUAACACCAGUCAACAAGUGCAAAGAGGUUUCACAUCACAACACACAACAAAAGCUUUUAUAAAACACAUAACAAAAGAAACCGAACUGAGGUUGUUCUUUGUUUACGCAGCUUCUGCGAAGCCAACCUGCUCGUUGCCAAAGUCAAAGACAGUGUGGUAUCUUCCCAUAAACACAUCUCCCAGUAUCCUGGCACAAAAAUCAAGAAUCAAGAUUUCGAUGAAUCUCACACUCAAGAGUGUUAAGAUUUAGAUGAUAUUUGUUUGCAUUUCCAUUUAGAUUUAGAUUUAGAUUUAGAAUUAAGGUAUGUUUUUCUCAACAACCAAAAACAUUUUAAACAAAACUUAUUUGACAGUUGUAAAUGUAAACGCCAAAUGAAUCCAUAAAUCACAUUUGAAACAAUCAAAAGCCUAGAUGAAUCUAAUACUUGAGAAAUAUUAUUUUUUAUGCCAAGAGAAUUUACCAGAGAGGUCCACGAGGUGGAGGCAAGUCGAGCGCAGUAAAGCCACUGAUGCAUUGUGCCACUGGUCCUUCCCCAAUCUUCAGUACGUACUAUUAAUCCCACAAACGAGAUAUCAGCCAAGAUAUGUUCAGAAUGCUACAAAAGGCUCAUCGAGUCUCAAACAUAAAUGUUCUCAAACAAGUACCUCUUCUGGAGAAAGAUCAAAGACUUUGCCUCCAAUGGUGAAUGAAACAGUAGGCAUUUUAGAGAGUUGUGAGCAGUCGACUGCAGACUCUCCAUUAGGACUCGGCAUGCGUUCGCAUAUCUGAGAAUGUUUUGGGAAUUUUAGGACCAGAAUACAGAAGAAUCUCAUUGCUAUAUUUCAGGAACAAAUUGUGAUAGACAUUUGUUCUUCUUACGUCAUUAAUGUUGUUCACUAUACGCUUUUGAGUCAUGUUCUGCAUUAACUGGCUUUGUAUCCACACAACUGCCAUUUCACAUGGAGCACAACCAGCAUCUCGGAGACCGCUAGAUGACUUUGUGUUUUCCUUGUCCACCACUGACUCAAUCCCCAUACUAAACAUAACACAAUAACAGUCAAUAAACACAAGAAGACUGCGAAAACGUGUGUAUAGUAUUGUUAUGUAUAUAGAUAUAGGGAAUUUACCUGACCCCAUGGGUGCCAUCGAAUGUGCAAAGACCUAUCUUUGAGCAGAUAUGCUUUGGUUGAGCCUGAAAGGAAAAAAAAAAGAGUUUUAUAUGCAGAAUCCAGACAUGCGUUCUCGCCGAUUCUCUGAGUUCAUCUUUUACCAAGUUAAUUAUAUUCUUACCUUAGCCAAAAGUAAAUCCAAAAUGGUUUGUCCAUACUGAUCCACAACAGUUUUGCAUUGCUGGCUAACAACUCCAGAUGCUCCGAUAGCUUUAUUUAUCAUGGCAAUCACAGCCUAGCAAAACCAAUAAAAAAAGAUCAAGCAUAUAUUCCACCAAACUAAAUUUCUAUAAAAACCCUCGACGAUUGUUGAUUACUGUUGGCCCUGCAAGUAACGAUGUUCCAGAAUCUGCUAUUGCAGUACAACCAUUUCCACAGUAUCCUGUUACAAAAGAGAAUCAUGUUUCAAUAACUAAUAUGGACGAACGUAACACGAAUACACGAUAUGAUAACUAAUACACGUACCAGUAGAUUUGCCGGCAAUGAGAACCUCACCCAUAUCAAACUAUUACCAAAAUAAUAACUUACAUGAGAUCUGACUAAUAAACAUUCGUGGCAAAUCAAGAAUAAUAACACAAAGAACAAACCUGCCAGUAACCCCUUCGUGAAACAGGAACAUAUGUGUGUUCUCCCUUGAAGUGCUUUGGAUCAACACCGCCAAAUAUAAGUUCACCGCCUUCUUCACUCUUUGUGUCACGGUUAAGCCAAAAUGAGAACACUGGUUUCUUGAUAAGACCUUGCUUGAGCAUAUUGUACCUGUAAAAAAUUUAAAACUGUUGUCACUAAUGGGGGGUGUGUGUAAGUAAGUAACCACAAUCCAAAAUAGUGCACGCAUACCAAACAGGAGUGGCGUUUCCAACAGAUAUCUCUUGGAAUCCAAGACCAAGAAGACCAUCAAACUUAGCCACCAAGAAAGUUAAACCAGGCUCACUGGUUGCCUCAAUAAACUCCUAAACAACAUAGGCAAUAUGCAGAAAGUAAAGUCAAAUCGAUAGAAAAAAUAUGAGCAUUAAAAGAAGUGUAGGACAUAUAAUUCACCUGAUUUUUGACAACUAAGUCACCAACCGUGACAGCAUCAUAACUGAAGAAACCAGAGAUGGAUCCAGAUCCGUAAUGGAUUGCUGCACGUUUUCCUGGAAUAUACAAUUUUAGAGCUUAUCAACAUCAAUUAUUAAUGUAGGGUUAAGUAGCACAAAACGAAAGAAUCAAAAGAGAAAACGUACCACUCUCCUUGUAAGUGCUUGACCGCGAGGACUUGUACUUGGAAUGAAAGAAACAAGACAGCUAGAUAAAGUAAACAACACAAUAAGUUUUCUCUUAAACUAAUCACAUUUAACAAUUGUAAACUAAAUGCUAAAAUAAAAGCUUACCGAGAAAUAACAUUUCCCUGAUGGUACCCAAAGGUUAGAGCUCCCCGUGUCGAAAAUCACUGUGAACUUCUGUGGUGGAGUACCGAUAGCAAUCUCACCAUAGUACUGAGCAUCCAAGUAGUUCUUCAACGCAACGAUGUCAGCAUCUCCAGCAUUCUUGUCGUUUGAACGGAACUCUUUUAAGGAAGAUCGAAAGGCUUUUUCUUGCUUGGAACCAAAGCGUGUGGCAAGUCGAUUGGUAGGAUCCAACUUCAGUUUUUUCAGGCCAACUCUUAAUGUUCCGUCAUUGCUCUCAGAAGAAGCGGAGAAAAACACCAAGAAGGACACAAAGAGUGAAGUAACCGAGUAUGCACCCAUCUUUGACCUAUGAAUUAGUUGACAUCAAUUGAUAGAAAAAAAACAUUAGUUGACAUCAAUAGACAAAAAGACUCAAUUUAAUUAGAUCAACGAGCUAAAAUAAAUUACGAGUUAAAAUGAACAUGCAACUCAACUAUCAACCCUAUUUACAGAAGAAAAAAUAGUUAAUGACAAGUGUGUAGUUUAAACAAGUAAAAAACACACAGGAUUUUGUAAAAUGAAAGAGAACCUUUUUAAUUGAAGGGAUUAUGAUAUGAAAGGGACUUUAGACAUCAAUGAUUUCUUAUAGCUGAUCUCGUCUCCAUUAUAAGAAAAAGAUCCUCAGAAAAUCGUAAAUCAACCACAAAUCAGUAACAAAACUAGACAUUUUAAUUAAUUAAUCAAAGCAAAUAACCUGAGGACAACAAAAUCAAGAAUCUUUCAUUACAAAACAAGAAAAAAGACUGCAUCAGCAAAAAAAAAAAAAAGAAGAAAAAAGUUGUCAAAACGAAGGAGACGACGGAGGAAUCUACGACGGUCAUGCCUAUAAAUUACCUCUUGGAAGCUGCAGCGGCUGUAGGGUCUGAACGGAGCAAAUGUGCUCCGACAUCGGAGACUCCACCGUCAGAGGAGGAGGAAGAAGAAUCAAAUGAUGAAGAGAAAGAACCGGAUAACGGCGAUGAAGAUGGCGAUGUGCAUGCGGGGGUGAAUGAUGAAGAGAAAUAAGAGGGUUCCGAUAAAGAAACUGAAGGGGACGCGACUGGUUCUGAUGAAGAAGAAAAUGAUGGUGAGGCGGAUGGCUCUGAUGAGGGAGACGACGAAGAGGAGCCUGAAAGCGAGGAUGUUGCCUCGGAUGAGGAGAAUGAAGUUGAGACUAAUGCCUCUGUGGAAACAUUCCUGGAAAUAGCGAGGCAGAUUUAGUAGAUGAGGAUGGAAAUAAGGGUUUAGAAGAUGGAAACAAGGAUGGAAACAUCGAGGAGGAAUCAGUAGAUGUCGAAGAAGAGAAAGGGCAGGAAGAGGUAAGAAUUUAGGAUAGGAUUAAGGUUUCCUUAGUAAUUUGGUUUGAAUGUUAAUGUUUCGGUGAAGGAAAACUAGGAUUUAUGGGUAUAAUUGGUCGUAAUACUAGAACAACUAGGUGAAACAAUGUGAAAUGGUAAAAUUAGUAAUAACUAAGUAUACUAGGAAUACUUGAAUAACUUAGUAAAACUAUUUUGGAAAAACUUGUAUAACUAUGUACAACUAAAUGUUACUUGCAGGAAAUCGAGGCUACUGAGGCAAUCAAGACAAGUACGAUUUUCUUCUAUGAAUCGGAGUACAAGAAACAGAUAAAGUUAGGUACAAGGUGUAUGAUAGUUGACGUUAUCGAGAUGCUUUUGUCUCUGGAUUCGCCGGCAAGUGAUGCGGAGAGGAGGUGGUUUGAGGAGCAUCCACAAUUCUGUCACUUGUUCCACAAGAAACUGGAUGCAGAUGCACAAGAAAAUUUUAAGAAGAACAAGAAGAGGAGCUCGAACCACAAGUUUCAUGGAAUGUGGAUGUUGUUACUGCGUACUGUCGAUGUCUCGAAGAGGAGAGAAGUGUGGUUCAUUGUCAAUGGUGUUCCCAUCCGUUAUGGGCUGAGGGAACACACAUUGAUACCAGGCCUAAACUGCCGCAACUAUCCUCUCGGUUACAAGGAGUUUGGUAAUAAGAAGUUUGUGAAGCGUCAUUUCAAGGGGGGAGAAUUAAUAAGGUUGGAGGAUGUGAAAGCAAAGCUGUUGGGAAUGAGAGCUCAUAAAGACAGGCUGAAGAUGAUGGUUCUCUUCUUUUUAGGAAGUGUUGUUUGCGCGCAAACGAAAGUUGGUGAAGGAGCCCAUGAUGUAUUGGAUUUUUUUCAAAGAGCGGUGGAUGAUCUUGGAUACUGCAAGACGUUUCCAUGGGGGAAGUACUCCUUUGAUUAUAUGGUUAAGGAGAUCUCUCACACAAUGGAUCAUUUUGGAGAAUUUGUGAAAGAGAAGACGUUAUGGCCACUUCAAGGUUUCUGUCUUCCACUAGAGGUAAGUAAAUAGAAGUUUAGAACAUUAUCAAUUUUUUUAUUAUUGUUUUGUUAAGUUUUAUAAAAUGUUGGAUUUGUAGCUUCUUGCUUUCGAGGCAAUUCCUCAACUGGGAAAGAGGUUUAGACAACCGGUUGAAGGAGCUGAUCCAGAGUGUCUGAGGAUGUGCCAGUCCACGUUCAAAAAGACAGAAAUGAAAGGGUUUCCUCUUGCAAGUGUUAAUCAAGAACUAGAUAGGGUAAAGGUAAGUGUUUCCUUCUUCGCCCUGCAAAUUUUAUUUGUAAUUGCCAUAUUAGGUAGGUAAAACAUGGGAAAAUUUGGUAAAACUGUAUGCGUAAAACAAUAAAAAACCUAAGAAAACUAUAUAGAACUGCGAUACUUUGGUAAAAAUGUAUGCGUAAAACAAUGGAAACUUAAGAAAACUAUAUAGAACUAGGAUGCUUUAGUAAACUUUUUUCUUUUUGUUGUUAGCCGCAUGAUAUUGACAGCAUCCUUCCUACCAGGAAUGAAGAAGAAAAAGUUCUUUUGGAUGCUCUCACGGAAGAGGAUGACGAUGCUGAUGAGCCUGGUAUUGCUAUGGACAGCUGGGUUAAGCGUAUUAACGAAAGAUAUUCUAUCUUUUUUGAAGACAUGUAUGAAGAUGACAUCGAAGCUCGAAAAGAAAAUGCAGAACAUGCAGUCCUUAAAGACAUUGCGCUAGUGGAAGAAGUGGCAGAACAGAAGAAGAUGUUGGAGGAUUUGAUCAAGAAAGUGGAAAGUCUUGGAAAUCAGCUAGAGAGCGUGUUGAAGACACUGGACAAGUUUGAGGAAAGAUUGGGCCCGCUUGAGUCGUUUGGGAAGGAAGCGCAUAAGGGAUUGAAAAAGGGAUCGAAGAAGAAGGGAUCGAAGAAGAAGUGACGUAGUUGGUGUUUCAUCUCGGAUUAUGUAUUUUAAGAACAUGAAUGUUGUUGGUUGCAAAAACUCUAUUCUAGGAACCUUAAUGCUGUUGCUUGCAAAACCCUGUUUUGGAACCUUAAUGUUGCUUAUCUAUUUCCAUUUUAUGUUUCUGUUUUAGAGUAGGAAAUUAACAACAAUGCACAAGUCUUGAACAAGAAACAACUUACGAACAGCUCAAGAGUAAGAGUAAGAGGAAGAUCACAGAUUAAAGAUAAGGAAUUAUGGAGUUUUACAAGUCUUACACAAGGAACAACCACAAAAUAAAGAAGACUUGUAAGAUCAGCCGAAAUAACAAACAAUAAAUUGUUCCCAACAACAAACUGGAUCCGAAUCAGACAUGAACAACAACAUUACUAACGACAUUACUUUAAGAUUCGAACACGCUUGAGCUGAUCCUUGAGCUCAGCGAUCUCUGCAGCCAUUUCAUCAACACGUGUUAGUAAGCCCUUAACCUUAUCAUGGAUCGCGAAGACCCAAGGUUGACGAAAGUGGAGUCCAUCAUCCUGCAAAUAGAACCCGAUUCAUACAUAAGAAAAUUAACACAAUCAUCACAUGAUUCAAAUCAAAACUCUAAUAUAUGAAAAAUACCUCAAAGUUGUCGCAGAUGAAGUAUUUCCUUCCCCGCAGAGUAUCUUGAUGAAUGUCUUGAUGAUACAAUCCAACAUUGGUAUUAAUGCCCACCUCCUUGCCUCUCAAAACACGAUGUUCAUUGAUUCCACACUGUUGCUUGUGUCCAAGUUGUACCUGUCACGUGGAAAAAAAACUCUUGCCCAUUUGUCUUUUUCAGUUUUCUCCUCCACAUACUUCCAAGCCGAAGGAUUUCUUCUUUUAAACGAUUCGUAGGCAGAGUCCAAGUCAGCCAUGGUGUAAUAUCUUCCCAAUUCCAUGAAUCUAUGCCCGACUACAUCUUUGUUGACAUUACAAGCAUGCCCUUUCACAUUUUCUUUAAAAUGCCAUAAACAAUGGUCAUUGUGAGCCUGUGGAUACACGUUUGCUGCUGCAAAGAUUAGGCUUUGAUUUCUACCAGUCAUGAAAACCAGUUCAGAAGAGUCUGAUAUAGCUAUCUUAAGCAUCUCGAAAAACCAAGUCCAGCUAGCAUGAUUCUCUCCAUCUAGUACUACCAACGCUAGUGGAUAAUGGUGACGAUUUGGAUCUUGAGCUUUGGCAAAAACUAGAACACUUCCAUAUCCGUUCUUCAGCAAUAACGCAUCCACAACUAUCACUUUCCUCAUGACUGCAAAACCCUCAAUGCAAGCUCCCAAGGCUAUGAAGAGGUAUUUGAAUUUACCUACCUCAUUCAAUUUCACAUCGGUUGUUGUUCCCGGAUUCACUUGCUUUAACAUGUACAAAUAGCUAUACAUCAUCUUGUAGCUUAUCUUCCGGAUUACCAUGUUGAUCACAAACCGCCAGAUUCUUUCCGCGCAACGCUGUCGAGUAUGAUAUCAUUACCCCAAGUUUGAACUUAACAAGACCCUUAAUAACCUUCGGACUUGGGGACUUGGAGUUUCCAAACCUCUCGGGAAUUCCCCAUUCAAAAAGGCUGACACUAGUUCUGCUGACCCUUUUCGCUUAUCGUUGCUGUCACUUUGACUAGUCUGAGAGCAUGUAUGCUUAUUCCUGUAGCUCCUAAUCGAAAAAAUGUAUGUCCUGAGGAAUCUUUGCAGCUCGUAAUCCCCAUUUACAGCUAGCUUGCGAACAUCCAAUCACCAAUCGUCUACGAUCAGACUUUUUGGUGAAAUAAUGAUAGCAUUCACUAAAAGCAGCUCUAUCGACGAUCUCCUGAAUUACGCUCUUACAUGGAAAUUCGUCAUGCUUACACAGACUCAAACCAUCACCCCAUUCCUUUAUAUACUUAGUCGAUUUUAUGGCUGGUGGUUGUUCAACAAACUUAUCAGCGGUUGGAACAGCGGUAUCUGUCUCUGCAGUAGUGUUAGUGUCUGCAGUGUUAUCAGCCUCCAUAACAGUAUCCGUCUCCAUAGUGGCAUCCGUCUCCCCAGUGGCAUCCGUCUCCACAGUGGCAUCAUCAUUAUUCCCACCCUCUAUCGCCUCGUUAUUUCCCUGCUUGUAUUCUACGUACAAAGUUAUGGCUUUAGCUCCAAUUUCAUCCUCCAAUGCCUGCAACUCUUACCCACGAGAGUUUAUCUACAGGUCCCGGUUCCACUAUUGGUUUCAUUGUUUCUAAUAUUUGUCCCGAUCUUCCACUACUCUUCACAACCAAAAGACUUCUUCGGUUGUCUUUAUCCAUGCCGGUUAGGUAAACAAAAAGAUCUUCAUCAUCAACAAUAUUUAAAGGUGUCUCACAUCCUACCACCAGCGGCAUGUAGCUCAAUUCCAGUUAUUCCUUGCUUUCAACCAACCCAAGCUUCUUAUACAUCCUCUCUUCUAUCAUUGACAAAGUCGUACCCCCCACUGAUGUCUUCAGGGUUAUACUAAACAUCCGGUCUUUGAAUUUAAAAUGUACGCUGACAUGAUUGCUCAUUGUAUCCUGCCAAAAGAAAUGAACAAACUCAACAAACUGACUAGAGUUAUCUACAGUUCUACCAGUUGUUCCGAGUUAUUCCAAGUUAACUAUAGUUCUACCACUUGUUCAGAGUUUUCCCAAGUUAUCCACAGUUCAAUCAACAAAAAAUUGAAUUACGUAUCGGGUGUGAACCGAUCUAGACCCUUGCCAAUACACUCCCAUUCAACCACUGAAAUGCAUUUUGUACCACUUUACUAUACUGAUUCAACCACUGAAAUGCAUUUUGUACCACUUUACUAUACUGAUUGACCCAGACACGAAACAAUGCCAUUGUGCAUUACUCCUAAAUCGAAUCACAAUUCAAUUACGAUGAAAGCCCGAGGCGGAGACCACAACUUACCGGCUUCGACGGAACGCUAGACGUCCUAAUUUGCUUUCCCAUAUUUUUGGAUACCCUAAUUUGCAACUCUUGAAUCCUUGUCCCCAGAUCGCAAAUCUCAUCCAAAUAUUGACACACCAUAAAACCCCAAACAUAAUCCCUAACUUUCUUCGCUUUGAUUCAGUAUUGUAUCGACAAAUAAUAUAGAUUGUUUUUUAGGCUUUAAUUAUUUAGUUGAAAGAGAUAACAAAAACGGCAAUAUAUAGUUUGUUGGAAUAAAAAGAUUUUGUGGAAAAUAAAGAUAAUUAAAAGUAUAGGUUUUAAUUAAAGCAAUGGCAUGGCUCCGUAAAUAUUAUUAAAACAAAAAGGCACUUAAAAAAAGAGUCAUCUGUUUUAAAAGUAUUGAUGUAUAGAUAUAGUACUUUACUUAUUGGGUAGAUGACCUUAAGAGUUAGAUAUAUGAUGUCUUUUGCAGAAGGAAAAGUAUCUCCAAAGCUUUAACAUGUCUUCCUUUUUUAAUGGCAAACACCAAAGCUAUACACAUCUUAUUAACUUAUAAGAUAAAAAAAAGUAGAGCAUAAAUCAAAUUCUUAAACAGCUUUGAUCAUAACUAGCUUCAGGAUUAAAAGUAGAUAAAACAACUUAUCACCGGAUGAAGAACAGAAACACUUAACUUAGCAUCGGAAUAUUUACAGAAGCAGAGAUUUUAACACAAGGCAGAUGAGAAGGGAGAGAGUUUAACUCAAGUCAACAAGUGCAAAUAGGUUUCACAUCACAACACACAACAAAAUAUUUACAGAAACAGAGUUUAACACAAGUCAGAUGAGAAGGGAGAUAGUUUAACACAAGUCGGCAAGUGCAAAGAGGUUUCACAUCACAACACACAACAAAAGCUUUCAUACAAACACAUAACAAAAGAAACCGAACCGAGUUUGUUAUUUGUUUACGCAGCUUCUGCGAAGCCAACCUGCUCGUUUCCAAAGUGAAAGA